RNAcentral lists this ribosomal RNA (497 nucleotides) under uncultured bacterium. RNAcentral describes it as "partial 16S ribosomal RNA". It matches the Rfam family "Bacterial small subunit ribosomal RNA", at positions 28 to 507 of the family's 1533-position model. The record is from RNAcentral.
GACGAACGCUGGCGGCGUGCCUAAUACAUGCAAGUUGAGCGAUGAAGAUUGGUGCUUGCACCAAUUUGAAGAGCAGCGAACGGGUGAGUAACGCGUGGGGAAUCUGCCUUUGAGCGGGGGACAACAUUUGGAAACGAAUGCUAAUACCGCAUAACAACUUUAAACAUAAGUUUUAAGUUUGAAAGAUGCAAUUGCAUCAUUCAAAGAUGAUCCCGCGUUGUAUUAGCUAGUUGGUGAGGUAAAGGCUCACCAAGGCGAUGAUACAUAGCCGACCUGAGAGGGUGAUCGGCCACAUUGGGACGGAGACACGGCACAAACUCCUACGGGAGGCAGCAGUAGGGAAUCGUCGGCAAUGGACGAAGGUCUGACCGAGCAACGCCGCGUGAGUGAAGAAGGUUUUCGGAUCGUAAAACUCUGUUGGUAGAGAAGAACGUUGGUGAGAGUGGAAAGCUCAUCAAGUGACGGUAACUACCCAGAAAGGGACGGCUAACUACGUG